This 66-nucleotide transfer RNA is filed under the name Dendrocerus sp. ZJUH_2016009. RNAcentral's name for it is "tRNA-Ile". Lineage: Eukaryota; Metazoa; Arthropoda; Insecta; Hymenoptera; Megaspilidae. The record is from RNAcentral.
AAUGACUUGCCUGGCAAAAGGAAUACUUUGAUAGAGUAGAUCAAAUAAUUAGACUUAUAUUCAUUA